CCUACGGGAGGCUGCAGUGGGGAAUAUUGCACAAUGGGGGAAACCCUGAUGCAGCGACGCCGCGUGAGCGAAGAAGUAAUUCGUUAUGUAAAGCUCUAUCAGCAGGGAAGAAAAUGACGGUACCUGAGUAAGAAGCCCCGGCUAACUCCGUGCCAGCAGCCGCGGUAAUACGUAGGGGGCAAGCGUUAUCCGGAUUUACUGGGGGUAAAGGGAGCGUAGGCGGGUGUGCAAGUCUGGAGUGAAAGGCGGGGGCUCAACACCCAGACUGCUCUGGAAACUGUACGGCUUGAGUGCAGGAGAGGUGAGUGGAAUUCCUAGUGUAGCGGUGAAAUGCGUAGAUAUUAGGAGGAACACCAGUGGCGAAGGCGGCUUACUGGACUGUAACUGACAUUGAGGCACGAAAGCGUGGGGAGCAAACAGGAUUAGAUACCCUUGUAGUC
Molecule: ribosomal RNA, 440 nt
Filed under: uncultured bacterium
Lineage: Bacteria
Description: partial 16S ribosomal RNA
Rfam family: Bacterial small subunit ribosomal RNA
Source: RNAcentral